AUUUAUUGUUAAGACUGUAACUAAAGAAAAACCUUCUGAUCUCGGAAGCAAAGCAGGGUCAGGCCUGGUUAGUACUUGGAUGGGAGACUGCCCGGGAAUACCAGGCGCUGUAAGCU
This 116-nucleotide ribosomal RNA is filed under the name Saimiri boliviensis boliviensis (Bolivian squirrel monkey). Lineage: Eukaryota; Metazoa; Chordata; Mammalia; Primates; Cebidae. The record is from RNAcentral.